This 433-nucleotide ribosomal RNA is filed under the name uncultured bacterium. Its description in RNAcentral is "partial 16S ribosomal RNA". It matches the Rfam family "Bacterial small subunit ribosomal RNA", at positions 29 to 507 of the family's 1533-position model. The record is from RNAcentral.
AACGAACGCUGGCGGCAUGCCUAACACAUGCAAGUCGAACGAGACCUUCGGGUCUUGUGGCGUACGGCUUCUUCACGCGUGGGAACCUUCCCUUAUGUGCGGAAUAACUCUCCGAAAGGGGUCCCAAUACCGGAUAAUGUCUUCGGACCAAAGAUUUAUCGCACUUUUAUGGGCCCUCGUUGGAUUAGCUAGUUGGUAGGGUAAAAGCCUACCAAGGCGACGAUUCAUAGCUGGUCUUAGAGGAGGAUCAGCGACACUGGGACUGAGACACGGAACAGACUCCUACGGGAGGCAGGAGAGGGGAAUAUUGGAAAAUGGGCGAAGGACUGAUAGAGCAAAGAAGCGUGAGUGAUGAAGGCCUUAGGGAUGUAAAGCUCUAUUACCCAGGAUGAUAAUGACGGUACCGGGAGAAUAAGCUCCGGCUAACUCCGUG